RNAcentral lists this ribosomal RNA (495 nucleotides) under uncultured bacterium. RNAcentral's name for it is "bacterial SSU rRNA". It matches the Rfam family "Bacterial small subunit ribosomal RNA", at positions 29 to 518 of the family's 1533-position model. The record is from RNAcentral.
AUGAACGCUAGCGACAGGCCUAACACAUGCAAGUCGAGGGCAGCACAAGGAGCAAUCUGAGGUGGCGACCGGCGCACGGGUGAGUAACACGUAUGCAACCUGCCUGUAAGCGGGGAAUAACCCGUUGAAAGACGGACUAAUACCGCAUAAUACUAAAUUACUGCAUGGUAAUUUAUUUAAACAUUUAUGGCUUACAGAUGGGCAUGCGCAUGAUUAGCUAGUUGGAGAGGUAACGGCUCCCCAAGGCAACGAUCAUUAGGGGUUCUGAGAGGAAGGUCCCCCACACUGGUACUGAGACACGGACCAGACUCCUACGGGAGGCAGCAGUGAGGAAUAUUGGUCAAUGGACGAGAGUCUGAACCAGCCAAGUCGCGUGCAGGAAGAAUGUCCUUAAUGGAUUGUAAACUGCUUUUGCAGGGGAAUAAAGUGCAUCACGUGUGAUGUUUUGUAUGUACUCUGCGAAUAAGGAUCGGCUAACUCCGUGCCAGCCGCAGC